Molecule: ribosomal RNA, 134 nt
Filed under: Legionella bozemanae
Lineage: Bacteria; Pseudomonadati; Pseudomonadota; Gammaproteobacteria; Legionellales; Legionellaceae
Description: Fluoribacter bozemanae partial 16S ribosomal RNA
Source: RNAcentral
CAAUGGGUCAACCCUUUCCACAAUGCCGCGUGUGUGAAGAAGGCCUUGGGNUUGUACAGCACUUUCAGUGGGGAGGAGGUUUGCNUAGGUUAAGAGCUGGGCGAAUGGACGUUACCCACAGAAGAAGCACCGGC